RNAcentral lists this RNase P RNA (284 nucleotides) under Phocoena sinus (vaquita). RNAcentral's name for it is "Nuclear RNase P (ENSPSNG00000009183.1)". It matches the Rfam family "Nuclear RNase P", at positions 1 to 212 of the family's 301-position model. Rfam says of the family: Ribonuclease P (RNase P) is a ubiquitous endoribonuclease, found in archaea, bacteria and eukarya as well as chloroplasts and mitochondria. Lineage: Eukaryota; Metazoa; Chordata; Mammalia; Artiodactyla; Phocoenidae. The record is from RNAcentral.
GGAGGGAAGCUCAUGGGUGGGGCCGUGAGCUGAGUGGGUUUAGUCACUCUACCCCAUGGCUCAUGGGAAGGUGUGAGACUAGGGCCAAAAUCGGCCCCAACAGGGCCCUCCUUGAGCUUAAGGGAGGUGAGUUCCCAGAGGGGAGGGGGGGGAAGAUCAGAGUUUGCUAAACAGGGCUCCUCUCAAGGAACCCAGCUCACUGAGUCUACAGGCAUCAGCUGGCCACUGUUGCUUUGCUCUACAGGAGUCAGGGCUUCGGGAACCAGCACAAAUGUUGUUACUCU